UUCCAGAUUCGACACACUAUCAAGAAACAUUACUUUCAUUCAACAUGGUUCUGUUGGAUAAUUGCGGAUUUUGUGUGUUGUUUCUCUACAUUUUAACUGGUGUCAGCUGUCAACAGCUGACUGCAGUGAAGGAUGAAGAGUCCAGUUCAGAAGGCAGCACUGUGACUCUGACCUGCAAAUACACCAAAGGUUCUGCUGAUUAUUUCUUCUGGUAUCGGCAACAUCCAGGAAAACCUCCAGAGUUCCUGAUCUCUCAUUUAGAAUCGGGACAAAUAUCUUUGAAUCCAGUCCCUGGACUGUCUGCGACAGUGAGGAAAGAAGAAACACAAAUGGAUCUGAAGAUCUCCUCUGCUGCAGUGACAGACUCUGCUGUGUACUACUGUGCUUGUAAAAUCCAAAUGUGA
Molecule: non-coding RNA, 404 nt
Organism: Stegastes partitus (bicolor damselfish)
Lineage: Eukaryota; Metazoa; Chordata; Actinopteri; Pomacentridae
Source: the annotation of a RefSeq genome assembly